This is a long non-coding RNA of Photinus pyralis (common eastern firefly), 349 nucleotides long. RefSeq lists it as uncharacterized. NCBI's taxonomy places the organism in Eukaryota, Metazoa, Arthropoda, Insecta, Coleoptera, Lampyridae. The record is from RefSeq and is a predicted model, not a curated record. The transcript has 2 exons.
CUUCUCUAAAUUCAUCAGUCCUUGCUCUCGUUCCAUUCGACAAGAAGCGUCGCUCAACACAUUCUUCCAACAUGAAAUUCAGCGUUAUUUUUGUAUUCGCCUUGCUGGUCUUGUCUGCAUUUGUAAACAAUGCGGAAGCCAAAUGGAAGGGGUGGAAAAAAAUUGAAGCAGCAGGGAAAAGGGUAUUUAAGGCCGCAGAAAAAGUAUUACCUGUCGCUCAAGGCUACCUUGGAGUCGCAGCAGCCAUAGGAAAAAAGUAGUAUGCUACGUUGUACCAAAGAUUAUUUUAUUUAUUGAUUAAUUUAUACUUAGAUGUUAUUUUUUGUAAAUAAACCGAUUGUAAACUACA